Molecule: ribosomal RNA, 253 nt
Filed under: uncultured bacterium
Lineage: Bacteria
Description: partial 16S ribosomal RNA
Rfam family: Bacterial small subunit ribosomal RNA
Source: RNAcentral
UACGUAGGGGGCGAGCGUUGUCCGGAAUCAUUGGGCGUAAAGAGCGUGUAGGCGGCCAGACAGGUCAGCUGUGAAAACUCGAGGCUCAACCUCGAGACGUCGGUUGAAACCGUCUGGCUAGAGUCCGGAAGAGGAGAGUGGAAUUCCCGGUGUAGCGGUGAAAUGCGCAGAUAUCGGGAAGAACACCCGUGGCGAAGGCGGCUCUCUGGGACGGUACUGACGCUGAGACGCGAAAGCGUGGGGAGCGAACAGG